UCCAUCCAUUUUGGCUACAUUUCUGUUUUUUAGCUAUUGUUUUUUUUAUAAUGCUUUAAUCUGAAACAAGUAUUAGGAUUAGCAGACUCUGAGAUAAUCACUGCCCACAGCAUCUUUUGAUCAUCCAACCUGACAAGGCUGGACCAAGACCGUCAAGGAGAGGGGAGGUCCAGGAUGGGAGCCAUGCCAAUGGAGCUUGGAUUUAAUGCUGCCGGCUAAAUGUUGGUCACAGGAAAUGACAAGGGGGACUCAGGCUUGCCAUGCAAUGGGAAAGACUGCUGUACCCACAUUCUUACAGAGACCUGUGUUCAUCACAUCAUUACAGAUCAACCAGUGGGAAACUGUUGCAGACCUCGCAGACAGAGAGCGGGACGAGCUGUGACUUGAUUGGCCCUGCUGGCUGCAUCAUUGUCGUCAUGGGAUUAUCUGUCACCACUCCUCAAUAUGCUUAGAAAGGCCAUGGUUGGGUGACUGGCAGGAAGGCCACUGGUGAGCUUCUUUUUUGUCUCAGCACCCAUUGAUCCACUUGUGCCGCCUCCAUCAGCACUGACAGCCACACGCAGGCCAGAGUGAAACCCUGUACGAGUCCGAUAAGCCUCUGCAGCAAUGCUGACAGCACCCAUACAAGACAACCUCUGGAUAUGACACUGAGCAUGUGCACUCAACUUCUUUGGUCGACCAUAGCGAGGCCUGUUCUGAGUGGAACCUGAGCACAUGAUAACAGGGACAGCCACAACCAUUCCAGAAUCUCAUGUUGCAGGAUAGUCAAAACAGGAAGUACCAAAGACGCACAAAACUGUCCUACAUCACGAGACUGGACUGGUUUUGGCUCUCUUCGUUGGGAUGUAGCUGAGCUGGCUGAGGUCAUCUUUAAUUAACCCCAUCUGUGUAUGUUGUUGCCAGAGUACACACUAAGGAAGGGCAACUUCCCCAAAAGGUUCGUCUGUGUCAAUAUUAAAAAGUCAAAUUAGAGAGCUGUCCUGCUUUGCCUUUUUUUUUUUUUAUUAUUUGCUAAUUUAAAGAACAAGCCCCUAUUCUUCAAAGUCUAAUCAUGAUUUGAGCAUGUUCUGAGUGGAACCUGUCCUGUUAAACCGCUGUAUGGUCUUGGCCACCGUGCUGCAGCUCAGUUUCAAGGUGUUGGCAGUCUUCUUACGGCCUAGGCCAUCUUUUUUUUCAGAUCCUCAGAGAGUUCUUUGCCUUGAGGUGCUAUGUUGAACUUCCAGUGAUCAGUAUAAGACCAAAAUUUAACACACCUGCUUCCCAUUCACACCUGAGACCUUGCAACACUAACGACUCACAUAACACCGGGGAGGAAAAAUGGCUAAUUGGGCCCAAUGUGGACGUUAUCAGUUAGAGGUGUACUCACUUUUG
Long non-coding RNA from Acanthopagrus latus (yellowfin seabream), 1371 nucleotides. RefSeq lists it as uncharacterized. The transcript has 5 exons. Lineage: Eukaryota; Metazoa; Chordata; Actinopteri; Spariformes; Sparidae. The record is from RefSeq and is a predicted model, not a curated record.